Molecule: ribosomal RNA, 164 nt
Filed under: Erigeron procumbens
Lineage: Eukaryota; Viridiplantae; Streptophyta; Magnoliopsida; Asterales; Asteraceae
Description: 5.8S ribosomal RNA
Rfam family: 5.8S ribosomal RNA
About the family: 5.8S ribosomal RNA (5.8S rRNA) is a component of the large subunit of the eukaryotic ribosome. It is transcribed by RNA polymerase I as part of the 45S precursor that also contains 18S and 28S rRNA.
Source: RNAcentral
CAAACGACUCUCGGCAACGGAUAUCUCGGCUCACGCAUCGAUGAAGAACGUAGCAAAAUGCGAUACCUGGUGUGAAUUGCAGAAUCCCGUGAACCAUCGAGUUUUUGAACGCAAGUUGCGCCCGAAGCCAUUCGGCUGAGGGCACGUCUGCCUGGGCGUCACGC